AGUUUCAAGUUAUUCGGUGACCAAGCGAUAGCCACCACUCGAUUCUCCGAAUCCUGCGGUCCGAUUCAACGGAUUAUAAUAGGAGUUUAACGAUAAAAAAUUUAAUUGCCCAUAUACAAGUAUAACCUGAGCUAUUCGAGCGAUGCUCGCAGCGCACGAGGGACUAAAAAGUGCAUACUCACGUGCGACGGCAAGACCGAUGCCAAGUGCUUCAGGAGCAUCUUCCCUCAUCUUAUUAGCCCCGACUAGUCCAGGGUCACUGUCUCGCGAUUCCAACCUCGGAGAAGCUCGCUGACGGCUGACGGCUAUCGAGCCUCUGUAGCAAAGGCGAACCUCGCGCAGCGCUAAACUUUUGUGUGAUGCGCCAGGAGUUGCUAAGCGACUGUAGGUUGACAAAAAUCUAUUCAGCCGUUCUGCGCCAUUCGCGGGGAGAAAGAUAACUCGCUCGCGCUACGCAGUUUCGAGGAUAUAUAGACGAUUGCAGCCAAAUCGACGAUGCAGCGACUGGUUGUUCAUCAAUUCUAUGAUGAUGAUCGAUAUAUUAUGCAUUGAUUCUCACUAUCGUCACUUUGGAUGAAUUUUAAAAUUGAAUUGUCGCGAAUCUUCAAAGAAAAUUAAAAAAAAAAGAAAAAAUGGAGAGGAAAGGAAAAAAAUGUGGUCCGCCCCUACUUCACCACGACACCUUCCCCGAAUUACCACCCUAUGAUCUAAAUCUAAGUCUUAGCCUAUAACUUAAAAUUACAACUAUUUACAUUCUUUCGUGUGUAGCUGUAUAAUGAGGGUGGAAUUUGAAAAGGGUGCCAGAGAGAUUCAAACUCCCAAGCUUUUGGCUAGAACUCUGUGGUCUUAAGCACAGGUCAUUUUCCAUCGUAUUGACGUCAUUAGCUUAUAGUCGGGACGUAAACAAAGUCAGCUGCGACGAUGGACAGCGUUGCGCGAGAGUCGCUGAUAGUCCGGGCGCUGGUGCCAUCUGAGUGUAAAUUUCGAGUUCCCCUCAGUAAGCUGGAGUUUUUCGGUAUGUUUUUGGGAUGCUGAAUCGAAAUUUGUUGGUUACGAAGCCCGAAACCCGUCAGUUUUUUGUUGUUAUAUAAACAAAUCACUGAUUUGCAAUAAACAAAUAAUCGUUAUUUGCAAUUGAAAAAAACAAUCAGUUACGUUAUUUAGGUAUUUUUUAAUCGAAAGUGCUCUUAGAACUUUUUCCGUAAAAAGCAUACUUUUUGAGUUAAAAAUCGUUGAAUUUUUAGAUUUCACGCGAGUGAACGGGAACAACAGCUCGAAAAAUCUCGGCAAAUCGUAUUUUGUGAAAACUCUAUUGAUUUUUAACUCAAAAAGUAUGCGUUUUACGGAAAAAGUUCUAAGAGCACUUUCGAUUCAGAAAUACCUAAAUAAUGUAACUAAAUUUUUUUCAAUUGCAAAUAAGUAAUUUGUUUGUAACAAAAGACUGACGGGUUUCGGGCUUCGUAACCAAAAACUUUCGAUUCAGCAUCCCAAAAAACAUAGAAAAGCUCCAGGUUACUGGGGGGAACUCGAAAUUUACACUAAGAUGGUACCAGCACCCGGACUAUGACCCCCGCGCGACGUCGAGGACUUGUGACUAUGUACAGAUU
RNAcentral lists this long non-coding RNA (1607 nucleotides) under Nasonia vitripennis (jewel wasp). RNAcentral's name for it is "uncharacterized LOC116416022". The record is from RNAcentral. Lineage: Eukaryota; Metazoa; Arthropoda; Insecta; Hymenoptera; Pteromalidae.